RNAcentral lists this ribosomal RNA (995 nucleotides) under uncultured bacterium. RNAcentral's name for it is "bacterial SSU rRNA". It matches the Rfam family "Bacterial small subunit ribosomal RNA", at positions 355 to 1375 of the family's 1533-position model. The record is from RNAcentral.
UGGGGGAUAUUGCACAAUGGGGGAAACCCUGAUGCAGCGACGCCGCGUGGAGGAAGAAGGUUUUCGGAUUGUAAACUCCUGUCGUUAGGGACGAUAAUGACGGUACCUAACAAGAAAGCACCGGCUAACUACGUGCCAGCAGCCGCGGUAAAACGUAGGGUGCAAGCGUUGUCCGGAAUUACUGGGUGUAAAGGGAGCGCAGGCGGACCGGCAAGUUGGAAGUGAAAACCAUGGGCUCAACCCGUGAAUUGCUUUCAAAACUGCUGGCCUUGAGUAGUGCAGAGGUAGGUGGAAUUCCCGGUGUAGCGGUGGAAUGCGUAGAUAUCGGGAGGAACACCAGUGGCGAAGGCGACCUACUGGGCACCAACUGACGCUGAGGCUCGAAAGCAUGGGUAGCAAACAGGAUUAGAUACCCUGGUAGUCCAUGCCGUAAACGAUGAUUACUAGGUGUUGGAGGAUUGACCCCUUCAGUGCCGCAGUUAACACAAUAAGUAAUCCACCUGGGGAGUACGACCGCAAGGUUGAAACUCAAAGGAAUUGACGGGGGCCCGCACAAGCAGUGGAGUAUGUGGUUUAAUUCGAAGCAACGCGAAGAACCUUACCAGGUCUUGACAUCCGAUGCAUAGUGCAGAGAUGCAUGAAGUCCUUCGGGACAUCGAGACAGGUGGUGCAUGGUUGUCGUCAGCUCGUGUCGUGAGAUGUUGGGUUAAGUCCCGCAACGAGCGCAACCCUUAUUGCCAGUUACUACGCAAGAGGACUCUGGCGAGACUGCCGUUGACAAAACGGAGGAAGGUGGGGAUGACGUCAAAUCAUCAUGCCCCUUAUGUCCUGGGCUACACACGUAAUACAAUGGUCGUUAACAGAGGGAAGCGAAACCGCGAGGUAGAGCAAAUCCCCAAAAACGGUCUCAGUUCGGAUUGCAGGCUGCAACUCGCCUGUAUGAAGUCGGAAUUGCUAGUAAUCGCGGAUCAGCAUGCCGCGGUGAAUACGUUCCC